GUCAACGGUGAUUUGCAUGAAGUAUGAUUGAAAGAUACUAUUUAAACGAUUCAAAUUCUAAGUAACUAUGAAUUUAUUGACGCAUACACUAACAUAUUAUUUAGUGAACACACUUGAUAAAUUUUACAACUUUACAUUAUCAAUCACAUCUAAGAUGAAAGUCAAUGUGAUUAAAUUUGUUUUAAAUUGCAAGUGAAAUUUUUUAAUUUUCUAAUUCUUUAGUUAUAGUUAUUAAUGUGUUGUGACCAAUUAAUU
Molecule: long non-coding RNA, 255 nt
Filed under: Prunus persica (peach)
Lineage: Eukaryota; Viridiplantae; Streptophyta; Magnoliopsida; Rosales; Rosaceae
Description: long non-coding RNA (PPER_LNC005202)
Source: RNAcentral